This 239-nucleotide ribosomal RNA is filed under the name uncultured bacterium. RNAcentral describes it as "partial 16S ribosomal RNA". It matches the Rfam family "Bacterial small subunit ribosomal RNA", at positions 538 to 776 of the family's 1533-position model. The record is from RNAcentral.
GCGUUGUACGGAAUUACUGGGCUUAAAGAGUUCGUAGGUGGUUUGUCGCGUUGUUCGUGAAAACCGGGGGCUUAACCCUCGGCGUGCGGGCGAUACGGGCAGACUUGAGUACUGCAGGGGAGACUGGAAUUCCUGGUGUAGCGGUGGAAUGCGCAGAUAUCAGGAGGAACACCGGUGGCGAAGGCGGGUCUCUGGGCAGUAACUGACGCUGAGGAGCGAAAGCGUGGGGAGCGAACAGG